CAGGCAGAGGCUGCUCAGUGACAGCAGUGAUAAGGCUCAGUCACUGUGUUCAGAUAACCGGGCAGCUAAGGGAGCAUGUCACCCGUUGGGAAUCCCCUGGAGGACAUCCCUGAGCCACUUGCAUGUCAGACACUAUCAGUGUACAGGAAGGACCAGCACUCCCUCUUGCAGAUGUGCUGGGAUGAGCUCAGGGCCUUCCUGGGAGACACAGGAGAUGGAACUCCUCCUGGUGCCCCAAACCAAGGAGAAGCAGCAGGUGCACAAGUUAUGGUGAAGGAUUAACUAUGAGCCUGGAAACCACCAGCAAAAAAAAAAAAAACAA
Passer domesticus (house sparrow) is the source of this 322-nucleotide long non-coding RNA. RefSeq lists it as uncharacterized. Lineage: Eukaryota; Metazoa; Chordata; Aves; Passeriformes; Passeridae. The record is from RefSeq and is a predicted model, not a curated record. The transcript is spliced from 2 exons.